GUCGGCGAAGUUACUUUGAAAAAAUUAGAGUGUUCAAAGCAGGCUUACGCCGUUGAAUAUAUUAGCAUGGAAUAAUAAGAUAGGACCUCGGGACUAUUUUGUUGGUUUGCGCCCCGUGGUAAUGAUUAAUAGGGACAGUUGGGGGUAUUCGUAUUGUGCUGUCAGAGGUGAAAUUCUUGGAUUAGCGCAAGACGAACUACUGCGAAAGCAUUUACCAAGGAUGUUUUCAUUAAUCAAGAACGAAAGUUGGGGGAUCGAAGAUGAUUAGAUACCAUCGUAGUCUCAACCAUAAACUAUGCCGACUCGGGAUUGGCGGUCGUUACUAAUGACUCCGUCAGCACCGUAAGGGAAAUCAAAGUCUUUGGGUUCCGGGGGGAGUAUGGUCGCAAGGCUGAAACUUAAAGGAAUUGACGGAAGGGCACCACCAG
This 428-nucleotide ribosomal RNA is filed under the name Trieres chinensis. RNAcentral describes it as "partial Eukaryotic small subunit ribosomal RNA". It matches the Rfam family "Eukaryotic small subunit ribosomal RNA", at positions 742 to 1173 of the family's 1831-position model. The record is from RNAcentral. Lineage: Eukaryota; Bacillariophyta; Thalassiosirophyceae; Eupodiscales; Parodontellaceae.